AUGUCGACAAGAAGUGGCAAGCCGCUCCUCGUCGUGAUCCGACGGAGCAAGCUCUCCGCAGGAGGUGAGGGCCGCCGCAUCUGCACAGAGUUCAAGCAGGCCAUGUACCCCUUCAAGUGGAGAAGGUACAUGUGCGCAAGGUGCGGGGUGCUCCGUGAUGAGCACAGGGCCUCCAAGAGCAAGGUCUCCGCAGGAGAUGAGGGGGACCACAUCGCAGGUAAGAGCAAGCUCUCCACAGGAGAUGAGGGCUCGCACAUAGCUGGCAAGAGCAAGCUCUCCGCAGGAGAUGGGGGCGAGCACGACACCGACAAGAGCAAGCUGUUUGCAGGAGAUAAGGGCGAGCACAGCGCUGACAAGUGCAAGCUCUCUGCAGAAGAUGAGGGUGAGCGCAGCGCCAACAAGAGUAAGAUCUCUGCAAGAGAGAAGGGAGAGCGUGUCUGCACCGAGUUCAAGCAGGCCAAGUACCCCUUCAAGUGGAGAAAGUACAUGUGUGCCAGGUGCGGGGUGCACCGUAGCGAGCACGGUGUCAGCAAGGCCAAGGCCAAAGUGUACGACGACAUGGAGAAUAUCAGGGAGGAGCUCCUGCCGCCACGCAAGAGGCUCAUUCUCAGGUUCAAGCGGUCACAGGCCCUUGCCGCUGCUGCUGUUGCUGCAUCCAGGGAGAAGGAGAACAAGGAGGGGGAGCUAGAGGAAGGGGAGAUCACCUGGAGCCCCGGCUCGACGAUCACCAAGGGAAAGAGAGCCACAAGGAGAAAGCCCUAG
Molecule: ribosomal RNA, 762 nt
Filed under: Triticum aestivum (bread wheat)
Lineage: Eukaryota; Viridiplantae; Streptophyta; Magnoliopsida; Poales; Poaceae
Description: partial small subunit ribosomal RNA
Source: RNAcentral